GAAUCUGCUUACUGGUUUGAUAGCUGGGAGUUCUUUAAGGCCACGUAAUUUCCCCAAGAUUUUGCCUGUAGGGUUGUGCUGAGAAGGUCCAGUAUCGGUGUAAUGAGGGGGAUCGGAUCCAGAUGAUGCAAUACAGGUGAGUGCCGUCCGGAGGUGGAUGUCGAAGGAGUCUUGAUGAGCAGAAGAGAAGGACUAGCUCAUUUCUCCUUCCAGAAGCUUCUCAGCACCCUUCCUGGCCAUGAGGACUGUUGCCCCUUCAGUGAGGACCCAGAACAGCUGAUCC
Molecule: long non-coding RNA, 283 nt
Organism: Tachyglossus aculeatus (Australian echidna)
Lineage: Eukaryota; Metazoa; Chordata; Mammalia; Monotremata; Tachyglossidae
Exons: 3
Source: RefSeq, a predicted model, not a curated record